CAGCAGCCGCGGGAAUACAGAGGGUGCAAGCGUUAAUCGGAUUUACUGGGCGUAAAGGGCGCGUAGGUGGUUAUUUAAGUGAGAUGUGAAAGCCCCGGGCUUAACCUGGGAACUGCAUCUUAUACUGGGUAACUGGAGUGCAGUAGAGGGUAGUGGAAUUUCCGGUGUAGCGGUGAAAUGCGUAGAUAUCGGAAGGAACACCAGUGGCGAGGGCGGCUACCUGGACUGAGACUGACACUGAGGCGCGAGAGCGUGGGGAGCAAACAGGAUUAGAUACCCCCGUAGUCCCUGUCUCUUAUAC
RNAcentral lists this ribosomal RNA (301 nucleotides) under uncultured bacterium. RNAcentral describes it as "partial 16S ribosomal RNA". It matches the Rfam family "Bacterial small subunit ribosomal RNA", at positions 509 to 807 of the family's 1533-position model. The record is from RNAcentral.